Molecule: microRNA precursor, 129 nt
Filed under: Callithrix jacchus (white-tufted-ear marmoset)
Lineage: Eukaryota; Metazoa; Chordata; Mammalia; Primates; Cebidae
Description: microRNA cja-mir-9914 precursor
Source: miRBase by way of RNAcentral
UACUUAAGGUCCAGAAACACGAUGGCAAAGACGAGAUUAUUAAAAAUGUGGUACGUGGAUGAAAAUCUCCCACUAUCUAUGUUACUAUGUUACAAGGUCUUGUUUCAGUGACUGUUUUUUGACCUAGUA